UUGGAAAAUCAGAGUAAAUCUUAAGUCCACAGGCUCACACAGGUCAAUCCAAGAAAGAUCAGAGCUCAGCCUAUAAGGCAUAAAAGUUCUCAUCACACUCAAUUUUUUAGCCUUUUCAGAUUUACCAUUUUAAAUAUGGAUGUCCUUCAGUGUUUAACCUAAAACAAAACAGCGCCUCACUCGGUUAUUGAGAGGAAGACAAUACAAGCCAUUAAGUAUCUUAAAAGUUAGGUCAAGCUAUACAAGCAAGAGAGAUCAUCAAAAUCUCUUGUCCUGCCCAACUGUGACUUAUAAUUAACUUUCUCACCAGUAACUUUCUCACCAGUUGUGAGGCUCCCGAAGCCCCUGAGCAUCAAAUGUCCACAUUGAGCUUCACAUAUAGGAUGUGUCUAUCUUCCUAACAUCCCUAGAAACCAGGUGUUCAUCUGCAUAGAGUGCGUGGAAGGACAGCUGGGAGUCAGAGAUUGUAGAGUUCCAGACUUUAUGAGAGAAGGAUGAUGCUGACAUUCUGGAACUUAGAAUGUAGUUACUUUCCUUCAAAUUAUUGGUGAAAUACUUCUGUGCUGACCCUGUAUCACUGUUGACAGCGUGGAAAAAUUUUUUAGAUCAAUCAUUUUUACAAGAAAGCCAACAUCAAACCCUGGCACAGCAUUCUAAGAUGAGAGUAAAUAAUCUGAGAAGACUGAAUAAAUAAGAGAAUCCAAAGAACUUCAGAGAGACACAGACAUUGUUAAGAUCACACAUUUGAUUUGUGGAACCCCGAGUCAGCUGGGGUCAGGUCUGAGUGUGUGUAACUAAGACAUGGAUAAUCAGGGCAGCUAAAGAUAAAAGGCUGCACCUCUAUUGACCAAAGACGUCUAGACAGGCUGUCAAAGACUGUCCUGGUAGCCCAGUCUCCUCCCAGUUCACUGCUCUGCCUGAGAGGCCCUUCUCCCUCUGAGAUGAUGGCCAGAGCUCCUGCUGUUGAGCCAGAACUGCAACAUCAAGAAGGAAGAAGAGUGGAGGGGAAAGAGACACAUGGCAUUCAUCACCAGGUAUGGAACCUGAGGCAGAACUACAUCUCUGGCCCCAUUUUCCAGAACUAUACAUUAGAAUAUCAAAAUGUAUUGCAGUAACAAAACCAUAAAAUGGAUAUCAUUUAACUACAGCAGGAAAAGAUUUUAAAUGAGCUGAGGUCACCACUGUGACAAGCAAUGCACCCUGAGCAGACAUGGAGUGCAGUUGUGGGGACUGUGGAUGCAUGCUAUCAGCAUGCCCACCUGCUCUAAGUUUCACCUGAUGAGCUGCUCUGACUCAAAUCAAAUGUGCGACAAACCAAAACGAACUGGUGCUCCACCCACAUACACGUUCUGUCCAAAGGCUGCUCACUAAAAGAACGGGAAGAACCACCAUCCUGGGAAUGAAGGCUGGGGAGCAGCUGUGGCCACUCGCACACGGUGGCAGGACUUGCUCUCUUCUGGCAAGAGAAAAUGAAAUGGUUGGCAACCGAUACGGAAGCCUAACUGAAGGGGUAAUGAGGUACACAGCGCCUGUAGUUGGGGUGGUAAGAUGGUCUGUCUGCCAACAGCAAAGCAAAGAAAGCUGCAGGUCCACGGGCGUAAGGAAGCUACAGAUCUGUCAUAGCCUUCCUUAUAACUGACCUUCAAGAUUCACAUCCCAACAUCAAGCUAAGGCCUGAGCACUGUACUUCAGACAUAUAUUCUCCCAAACUGGAGUUACCGUGUCCAAGAAUGAAAUAUAUGCUGGAAGUAUUUUUGUAUGUUACUGUAUUUUCCCACUUACUAUAUAUUUGCACACUUUGACAUAAAUGUGUAUUGUGCCUACCAUCACCAGAAGCUGGUGACGCAGAAUGCAGCACAAAGUACGCGCUCUCACAGGAUUUACACGCUAAAUGUUUGCUAACACCUUCUGUUGUUGUCACUGUUUCUGAGACAGGUCUCACUAUGUAGUUCUGGCUGGCCUGAAGCUCACUACGUAGGUCAGGCUGAAUUGAACCUGUGACAAUCUUUCUGCCUCUGCUAAAAUUUCAGGGGUGUUGUCACCACACCCUUUUUGAGAAAGAUAUUUAAAUAAAUUUGACUAUUUCAUAAAA
Long non-coding RNA from Peromyscus eremicus (cactus mouse), 2092 nucleotides. RefSeq lists it as uncharacterized. The transcript has 3 exons. NCBI's taxonomy places the organism in Eukaryota, Metazoa, Chordata, Mammalia, Rodentia, Cricetidae. The record is from RefSeq and is a predicted model, not a curated record.